ACCUGGAGAUAGCUGGCUCUCCCCGAAAUGCCUUUAGGGACAGCCUCAUACAAAGAUGCCGGAGGUAAAGCACUGGAUGGGAGCGGGGAUGUCAAAGUCUACCAAUUCCAAUCAAACUCUGAAUGCCGGCAUCCAACGUAUGGGAGUGAGACUGUGUGCGCCAAGGUUCAUAGUCAAGAGGGAAACAGCCCAAACCGUCAGCUAAGGUCCCGAAAUAGUGCUAAGUGUUAAAUGAAGUCCGGAUGCACAGACAGCCAGGAGGUUGGCUCAGAAGCAGCCAUUCCUUGAAAGAGUGCGUAACAGCUCACUGGUCGAGCAUGCGGGCGCAGACAAUGUAACGGGGCUAAGCAUUAUACCGAAGCUGCGGAUCUUGCGCAAAGGCGCAAGGUGGUAGGGGAGCAUGCCGUCAACCGGCGAAGGCGGAUCCGCGAGGGCCGCUGGAGGAAACGGCAGAGAGAAUGCAGGCAUAAGUAACGAAAAGACGGGUGUGAUUCCCGUCCGCCGAAAACAUAAGGUUUCCAGGGUAAAGGCAAUCUGCCCUGGGUAAGUCGGAGCCUAAGUCCAGGCCGAAAGGCGUAGGCGAUGGUAAUCCGGUUCAAAAUCCGGAACCUCCGGCAUUUCGAUGCCACGACGCAUGAGGCGACGUCCGGCGGGAGAACGGUAGUUCCCGUCCAAGCAUUGAGCCGUCAAGGGAGGGGGUUAAAUGAUCCUCCCAGGCGAGAUGUGACAGCGAGCUGAGAGAAAGUCGAAGCGAAGCGGGCAGAGUCAAGGUGCCGAGAAAGAGUGGCUAGGCAAGGUGCCGGAGUCCGUACCGUAAACGGACACACGUAUGUAGGAUGAGUAAUCUAAGGCGCUCGAGCGACCUCGCGUUAAGGAACUCGGCAAAAUGCGCACGUAACUUCGGAAGAAGUGCGGCUCCUGUUUGAAAGGAUAAGGAGCGGCAGAAAGCAGGCCCAGGCGACUGUUUAUCAAAAACACAGCCAUCUGCGAACCAGCAAUGGGACGUAUAGGUGGUGACACCUGCCCGGUGCCGGAAGGUUAAGGGGAGAAGUCAGCCGCAAGGCGAAGCCUCGAACCGAAGCCCCGGUAAACGGCGGCCGUAACUAUAACGGUCCUAAGGUAGCGAAAUUCCUUGUCGGGUAAGUUCCGACCCGCACGAAUGGUGUAACGAUUCUGGGCACUGUCUCAACGCGAGACUCGGUGAAAUUUAUAUUCCGGUAAAGAAGCCGGAUACUCAUAAUUAGACGGAAAGACCCCGUGAACCUUCACCGUAACUUAGCAUGGGGAUCCUAUUCAUCAUGUGUAGGAUAGCUGGGAGCCAGCGAGGCGUGGCCGUCAGGCUGCGCGGAGGCGCCGGUGAAAUACCAGCCCUGAUGAAUGGGAUUUCUAACCCUGGCCCUGAAGCGGGUCCGGGGACAAUGCUAGGCAGGCGGUUUGACUGGGGCGGUCGCCUCCCAAAGAGUAACGGAGGUGCGCGAAGGUCUCCUCACCGCGGUUGGAAAUCGCGGCGCGAGUGUAAAGGCACAAGGAGGCUUGACUGCGAGGGCCACAACCCGAGCAGGUGCGAAAGCAGGUCUUAAUGAUCUGAUGGUUCCGAGUGGAAGGGCCAUCACUUAACGGACAAAAGGUACUCCGGGGAUAACAGGCUGAUUUUCCCCAAGAGUUCACAUCGACGGGAAAGUUUGGCACCUCGAUGUCGGCUCAUCGCAUCCUGGGGCUGGAGCAGGUCCCAAGGGUUUGGCUGUUCGCCAAUUAAAGCGGUACGUGAGCUGGGUUCAGAACGUCGCGAGACAGUUCGGUCCCUAUCUGUUAUGAGCGAAGGAGAUUUGAGAGGAGCUGCCUUUAGUACGAGAGGACCGAGGUGGACGAACCUCUGGUGUGCCGGUUGUCCUGCCAAGGGCAAGCGCCGGGUAUCUAAGUUCGGAAGGGAUAACCGCUGAAAGCAUCUAAGCGGGAAGCCCACCUCAAGACAAGAUCUCCCCGGGGAUUAAUCCCCCUGAAGACUCCGGAGACACUAUCCGGUCGAUAGGAUGCAGGUGCAAGCGUGGCGACGCGUUCAGCCGAGCAUUACUAAUAAGUCGUGAGGCUUGACC
RNAcentral lists this ribosomal RNA (2093 nucleotides) under human gut metagenome. RNAcentral describes it as "bacterial LSU rRNA". It matches the Rfam family "Bacterial large subunit ribosomal RNA", at positions 837 to 2925 of the family's 2925-position model. The record is from RNAcentral.